This 482-nucleotide ribosomal RNA is filed under the name uncultured bacterium. Its description in RNAcentral is "partial 16S ribosomal RNA". It matches the Rfam family "Bacterial small subunit ribosomal RNA", at positions 29 to 507 of the family's 1533-position model. The record is from RNAcentral.
AUUGAACGCUGGCGGCAUGCUUUACACAUGCAAGUCGAACGGCAGCGCGGGCUUCGGCCUGGCGGCGAGUGGCGAACGGGUGAGUAAUACAUCGGAACGUGCCCAGUAGUGGGGGAUAGCUCGGCGAAAGCCGGAUUAAUACCGCAUACGACCUGAGGGUGAAAGCGGGGGAUCUUCGGACCUCGCGCUAUUGGAGCGGCCGAUGGCAGAUUAGCUAGUUGGUGGGGUAAAGGCCUACCAAGGCGACGAUCUGUAGCUGGUCUGAGAGGACGACCAGCCACACUGGGACUGAGACACGGCCCAGACUCCUACGGGAGGCAGCAGUGGGGAAUUGUGGACAAUGGGCGAAAGCCUGAUCCAGCAAUGCCGCGUGUGAUGAAGGCCUUCGGGUUGUAAAGCACUUUUGGCGGGAACGAAAAGGACUGUGCCAAUACCACGGUUCGAUGACGGUACCCGCAGAAUAAGCACCGGCUAACUACGUG